RNAcentral lists this non-coding RNA (253 nucleotides) under uncultured bacterium. RNAcentral describes it as "partial 16S ribosomal RNA". It matches the Rfam family "Bacterial small subunit ribosomal RNA", at positions 524 to 776 of the family's 1533-position model. RNAcentral also lists the same sequence under 1 other name. The record is from RNAcentral.
UACGUAGGGUCCAAGCGUUGUCCGGAAUUAUUGGGCGUAAAGAGCUCGUAGGCGGUCCAUUAAGUCGGGAGUGAAAUCUCAGGGCUCAACCCUGAAACCGCUCUCGAUACUGGUGGACUUGAGGCAGGUAGGGGAAGGUGGAAUUCCUGGUGUAGCGGUGAAAUGCGCAGAUAUCAGGAGGAACACCAGUGGCGAAGGCGGCCUUCUGGGCCUGUCCUGACGCUGAGGAGCGAAAGCGUGGGGAGCGAACAGG